CGUCUUAUCAGGUAACUCGCAUGGGA
RNAcentral lists this small RNA (26 nucleotides) under Bombyx mori (domestic silkworm). RNAcentral's name for it is "ovarian small RNA-14562". The record is from RNAcentral. Lineage: Eukaryota; Metazoa; Arthropoda; Insecta; Lepidoptera; Bombycidae.